Molecule: long non-coding RNA, 384 nt
Organism: Cottoperca gobio
Lineage: Eukaryota; Metazoa; Chordata; Actinopteri; Perciformes; Bovichtidae
Exons: 3
Source: RefSeq, a predicted model, not a curated record
GAGGAUGCAGUCCGACAGCUGGAGGUGGAGCAUUCGGCUAAGAUCGUUAUAGAAACGCUGCCAGAGUCCAACGAGCAACUGCCCAAUAUCCAGGAGGAGGAAAACGAGGACGACCCAGAGAGCCUGAUGGACGUCCGUCUGGCUGAAGACGACGUCACUCCUUCAUCAACAGACGUGGAGCCAGCAUCGGAGAGGAGAGACCCGGAGAGUCCGAUCCCCCAAACAAUCACCCAACAACCAGAGUCACAAGCUGGAGAAAGCACCGUCACAGAUCAGGUGAAAGUCUUUACAUCCUGCAACAUCCUCGUUCCAUGUUUCUCAUCGACAGCACAACAAUUAAAGCAUCAUUUGGGUUUAAUACAACUCGGGCUCUUAUUUUAUUUC